Molecule: small nuclear RNA, 23 nt
Filed under: Arabidopsis thaliana (thale cress)
Lineage: Eukaryota; Viridiplantae; Streptophyta; Magnoliopsida; Brassicales; Brassicaceae
Description: snRNA_12494
Source: RNAcentral
AUAGGGCUGAACUCUUGUAUUCA